RNAcentral lists this ribosomal RNA (427 nucleotides) under uncultured Synechococcus sp. RNAcentral's name for it is "bacterial SSU rRNA". It matches the Rfam family "Bacterial small subunit ribosomal RNA", at positions 31 to 505 of the family's 1533-position model. The record is from RNAcentral. Lineage: Bacteria; Bacillati; Cyanobacteriota; Cyanophyceae; Synechococcales; Synechococcaceae.
GAACGCUGGCGGCGUGCUUAACACAUGCAAGUCGAACGAACCUUCGGGUUAGUGGCGGACGGGUGAGUAACGCGUGGGAAUCUGCCCUCAGGAGGGGGAUAACGGCCGGAAACGGCCGCUAAUACCCCAUAUGCCGAGAGGUGAAAUGAAUUUCGCCUGAGGAUGAGCCCGCGUCUGAUUAGCUAGUUGGUGAGGUAAGAGCUCACCAAGGCAUCGAUCAGUAGCUGGUCUGAGAGGAUGAUCAGCCACACUGGGACUGAGACACGGCCCAGACUCCUACGGGAGGCAGCAGUGGGGAAUUUUCCGCAAUGGGCGAAAGCCUGACGGAGCAACGCCGCGUGAGGGAUGAAGGCCUCUGGGCUGUAAACCUCUUUUAUCAAGGAAGAAGAUCUGACGGUACUUGAUGAAUAAGCCACGGCUAAUUCCG